This 497-nucleotide ribosomal RNA is filed under the name uncultured bacterium. RNAcentral's name for it is "partial 16S ribosomal RNA". It matches the Rfam family "Bacterial small subunit ribosomal RNA", at positions 28 to 507 of the family's 1533-position model. The record is from RNAcentral.
GAUGAACGCUGGCGGCGUGCCUAAUACAUGCAAGUCGAGCGAACGGACGAGAAGCUUGCUUCUCUGAUGUUAGCGGCGGACGGGUGAGUAACACGUGGAUAACCUACCUAUAAGACUGGGAUAACUUCGGGAAACCGUAGCUAAUACCGGAUAAUAUUUUGAACCGCAUGGUUCAAUAGUGAAAGACGGUCUUGCUGUCACUUAUAGAUGGAUCCGCGCUGCAUUAGCUAGUUGGUAAGGUAACGGCUUACCAAGGCAACGAUGCAUAGCCGACCUGAGAGGGUGAUCGGCCACACUGGAACUGAGACACGGUCCAGACUCCUACGGGAGGCAGCAGUAGGGAAUCUUCCGCAAUGGGCGAAAUCCUGACGGAGCAACGCCGCGUGAGUGAUGAAGGUCUUCGGAUCGUAAAACUCUGUUAUUAGGGAAGAACAUAUGUGUAAGUAACUGUGCACAGCUUGACGGUACCUAAUCAGAAAGCCACGGCUAACUACGUG